RNAcentral lists this ribosomal RNA (318 nucleotides) under Triticum aestivum (bread wheat). RNAcentral describes it as "partial small subunit ribosomal RNA". Lineage: Eukaryota; Viridiplantae; Streptophyta; Magnoliopsida; Poales; Poaceae. The record is from RNAcentral.
AUGCAUGCCGACGACGGCCGAGGGCGCGCUGGUGCCGUCCACGGUGUGCCCGCCGACGCCGACAAGGAAGCGUCGGCCGCUGCAGCAGAGGUUUUUCUACCACCGGUGCCGCGCGAGCUCACCACCGUCUUCGUCGCGGUGCCGCAGUCCCCGCCGCCGGCGAAGAAGAUGCUGGUGCACCGUGCACGUUGUCGAACAGUCUGUGCCUCUAGGCAUAUGCUGCCGCGCGACAUUGUCACGGCCGCGAGUGCUGGAAAGAGUAGUGAAGCUUUAUUGAUAUCUCAUUCACACACAACACUAGCAGUGAAGUUUAGCUGA